AGGCGGGGAGGACUGAGUCUUGGUCUCGCUUCUCCCGUUUUGCACCCGGCGCGUGACGAGUCGUGCGACCCAUCUCCGAGGAAAAGCAAAACAAACAUGGGAGAGUGGUGAACAGUGGAUAAGGGAAGAAAUCAUGUCAGUUUCUCAAUCUUAAUGACUCUCCUCACUCUCCUUCAAUAAUCUCAAAGCUGAGUCCAGGAGUCGCCGAAAUUAAAGAGAAUGUAAUCAGGUGGUCAGACUCAACUGAAGAAAGGAAGCCCGGAACAGGGACAGAAUGCCUGUGAAAGGGCAGAAAACGCACAUCCUCCCUUACCUGUUGCCUAAGUCCACGG
Long non-coding RNA from Myotis brandtii (Brandt's bat), 332 nucleotides. RefSeq lists it as uncharacterized. NCBI's taxonomy places the organism in Eukaryota, Metazoa, Chordata, Mammalia, Chiroptera, Vespertilionidae. The record is from RefSeq and is a predicted model, not a curated record. The transcript has 4 exons.